GUGGAUAACCUGCCGUAUACCGGGGGAUGACUCUUAGAAAUAGGUGCUAAUACCGCAUGAGCGCACAGCUCCGCAUGGGGCGGUGUGAAAAACUCCGGUGGUAUACGAUGGAUCCGCGUCUGAUUAGCCAGUUGGCGGGGUAACGGCCCACCAAAGCGACGAUCAGUAGCCGGCCUGAGAGGGUGAACGGCCACAUUGGGACUGAGACACGGCCCAGACUCCUACGGGAGGCAGCAGUGGGGAAUAUUGCACAAUGGGGGAAACCCUGAUGCAGCGACGCCGCGUGAGUGAAGAAGUAUCUCGGUAUGUAAAGCUCUAUCAGCAGGAAAGAUAAUGACGGUACCUGACUAAGAAGCCCUGGCUAACUACGUGCCAGCAGCCGCGGUAAUACGUAGGGGGCAAGCGUUAUCCGGAUUUACUGGGUGUAAAGGGAGCGUAGACGGCAGCGCAAGUCUGGAGUGAAAUGCCGGGGCCCAACCCCGGAACUGCUUUGGAAACUGUGCGGCUCGAGUGCGGGAGAGGUAGGCGGAAUUCCUAGUGUAGCGGUGAAAUGCGUAGAUAUUAGGAGGAACACCAGUGGCGAAGGCGGCUUACUGGACCGUAA
RNAcentral lists this ribosomal RNA (604 nucleotides) under uncultured bacterium. RNAcentral's name for it is "bacterial SSU rRNA". It matches the Rfam family "Bacterial small subunit ribosomal RNA", at positions 117 to 739 of the family's 1533-position model. The record is from RNAcentral.